Molecule: ribosomal RNA, 506 nt
Filed under: uncultured bacterium
Lineage: Bacteria
Description: partial 16S ribosomal RNA
Rfam family: Bacterial small subunit ribosomal RNA
Source: RNAcentral
AUUGAACGCUGGCGGCAGGCCUAACACAUGCAAGUCGAACGGCAGCACAGAAGAGCUUGCUCUUUGGGUGGCGAGUGGCGGACGGGUGAGUAAUGUCUGGGAAACUGCCCGAUGGAGGGGGAUAACUACUGGAAGCGGUAGCUAAUACCGCAUAACGUCGCAAGACCAAAGAGGGGGACCUUCGGGCCUCACACCAUCGGAUGUGCCCAGAUGGGAUUAGCUAGUAGGUGGGGUAAUGGCUCACCUAGGCGACGAUCCCUAGCUGGUCUGAGAGGAUGACCAGCCACACUGGAACUGAGACACGGUCCAGACUCCUACGGGAGGCAGCAGUGGGGAAUAUUGCACAAUGGGCGCAAGCCUGAUGCAGCCAUGCCGCGUGUAUGAAGAAGGCCUUCGGGUUGUAAAGUACUUUCAGCGGGGAGGAAGGCGGUGAGGUUAAUAACCUCGCCGAUUGACGUUACCCGCAGAAGAAGCACCGGCUAACUCCGUGCCAGCCGCCGCAGUAA